Molecule: ribosomal RNA, 589 nt
Filed under: uncultured archaeon
Lineage: Archaea
Description: bacterial SSU rRNA
Rfam family: Archaeal small subunit ribosomal RNA
Source: RNAcentral
AGCCCUAUGGGGCGCAGCAGGCGAGAACCUUUGCAAUGUGCGAAAGCACGACAAGGUUAAUCCGAGUGUCUCCUGCUAAAGGAGUCUCUUGUCAGUUGUAGAAUCACUGGUGAAUAAGGGGUGGGCAAGUUCUGGUGUCAGCCGCCGCGGUAAAACCAGCACCUCGAGUGGUCAGGAGGUUUAUUGGGCCUAAAGCAUCCGUAGCCGGUUGCAUAAGUUUUCGGUUAAAUCUAUGCGCUUAACGUAUAGGCCGCCGAAAAUACUGUGCAGCUAGGGAGUGGGAGAGGUACACGGUACUCGAUAGGAAGGGGUAAAAUCCUUUGAUCUAUUGAAGACCACCUGUGACGAAGGCGGUGUACCAGAACACGUUCGACGGUGAGGGAUGAAAGCUGGGGGAGCAAACCGGAUUAGAUACCCGGGUAGUCCCAGCUGUAAACGAUGCAGACUCGGUGAUGCAUUGGCUUGUGGCCAAUGCAGUGCCGCAGGGAAGCCGUUAAGUCUGCCGCCUGGGAAGUACGUACGCAAGUAUGAAACUUAAAGGAUUGGCGGGGGAGCACCACAAGGGGUGAAGCCUCGGUUCAAUUGGAUC